Molecule: small RNA, 517 nt
Filed under: Rattus norvegicus (Norway rat)
Lineage: Eukaryota; Metazoa; Chordata; Mammalia; Rodentia; Muridae
Description: uncharacterized LOC102549375
Source: RNAcentral
GAAGGGGAGAGCCCAGAGGAGCAGCUGGAGGCGAGGCCAGCACGGGGCCAGGAAGCUGGGAGACAGAGCUGUAACCUGUUGGGCUCAGACCUUCAGGCAGUUCCCACAGGAAGCAGGAGUGUAACACUGAGGGAUGCUGAGCAAUGGAGACAGGAAGAAGUCCAUCUGUCCCUGCAAGAACCAAGGACUCUUGUGCCAGCAAGGACCCCAGGACCCCUGCUUCCAUAAAGCAAAGGAAGGCUAGGGUGACAAGGCGGGAAGGAGAGACUCGGGAGAGUUACCGUGUGUAGGGGCGGACUGAGCACCAAGACAGAGGAGGAAGAUUGGAGAGGAUCGGGUGGGCACAAGCGCAUGGCCACCCACCCUCCAGUGCAUACUUGGCACGCAGUGUCCACAUGCAACUGCUGGCCUGCACAAAGCCCAUGAAUCCAAAGCUGCAUGGGCUACACAUGGGAGGCACACACACACACACACACACACACACACACACACAUACACACACACACACCUCCCUACC